This 490-nucleotide ribosomal RNA is filed under the name uncultured bacterium. RNAcentral describes it as "partial 16S ribosomal RNA". It matches the Rfam family "Bacterial small subunit ribosomal RNA", at positions 30 to 507 of the family's 1533-position model. The record is from RNAcentral.
AUUGAACGCUGGCGGCAGGCCUAACACAUGCAAGUCGAACGGUAACAGGAAGCAGCUUUCUGCUUCGCUGACGAGUGGCGGACGGGUGAGUAAUGUCUGGGAAGCUGCCUGAUGGAGGGGGAUAACUACUGGAAACGGUAGCGAAUACCGCAUAAUGUCGCAAGACCAAAGAGGGGGACCUUCUGGGCUCUUGCCCUCGGAUGUGCCCAGAUGGGAUUUGCUUGUUGGUGGGGUAACGGCGCACCAAGGCGACGAUCCCUAGCUGGUCUGAGAGGAUGACCAGCCACACUGGGACUGAGACACGGUCCAGACUCCUACGGGAGGCAGCAGUGGGGAAUAUUGCACAAUGGGCGCAAGCCUGAUGCAGCCAUGCCGCGUGUAUGAAGAAGGCCUUCGGGUUGUAAAGUACUUUCAGCGGGGAGGAAGGGAGUAAAGUUAAUACCUUUGCUCAUUGACGUUACCCGCAGAAGAAGCACCGGCUAACUCCGUG